RNAcentral lists this ribosomal RNA (510 nucleotides) under uncultured bacterium. RNAcentral describes it as "partial 16S ribosomal RNA". It matches the Rfam family "Bacterial small subunit ribosomal RNA", at positions 28 to 507 of the family's 1533-position model. The record is from RNAcentral.
GACGAACGCUGGCGGCGUGCUUAACACAUGCAAGUCGAACGAAGAGCGAUGGAAGCUUGCUUCUAUCAAUCUUAGUGGCGAACGGGUGAGUAACGCGUAAUCAACCUGCCCUUCAGAGGGGGACAACAGUUGGAAACGACUGCUAAUACCGCAUACGAUCUAAUCUCGGCAUCGAGGAUAGAUGAAAGGUGGCCUCUACAUGUAAGCUAUCACUGAAGGAGGGGAUUGCGUCUGAUUAGCUAGUUGGAGGGGUAACGGCCCACCAAGGCGAUGAUCAGUAGCCGGGCUGAGAGGAUGAACGGCCACAUUGGGACUGGGACACGGCCCAGACUCCUACGGGAGGCAGCAGUGGGGAAUCUUCCGCAAUGGACGAAAGUCUGACGGAGCAACGCCGCGUGAGUGAUGACGGCCGUCGGGUUGGAAAGCUCUGUUAAUCGGGACGAAAGGCCUUCUUGCGAAUAGUGAGAAGGAUUGACGGUACCGGAAUAGAAAGCCACGGCUAACUACGUG